RNAcentral lists this ribosomal RNA (454 nucleotides) under uncultured bacterium. RNAcentral describes it as "partial 16S ribosomal RNA". It matches the Rfam family "Bacterial small subunit ribosomal RNA", at positions 28 to 507 of the family's 1533-position model. The record is from RNAcentral.
GAUGAACGCUGACAGAAUGCUUAACACAUGCAAGUCCACUUGAACUUCGGUUUGGGUGGCGGACGGGUGAGUAACGCGUACGGAACUUGCCUCACAGAUAGGGACAACAUUUGGAAACGAAUGCUAAUACCUGAUAUUAUGAUUAUAUGGCAUCGUAUAAUUAUGAAAGCUAUAUGCGCUGUGAGAGAGCUUUGCGUCCCAUUAGCUAGUUGGAGAGGUAACGGCUCACAAAGGCGAUGAUGGGUAGCCGGCCUGAGAGGGUGAUCGGCCACAAGGGGACUGGGACACGGCCCUUACGCCUACGGGAGGCAGCAGUGGGGAAUAUUGGACAAUGGACCAAGAGUCUGAUCCAGCAAUUCUGUGUGCACGAUGAAGUUUUUCGGAAUGUAAAGUGCUUUCAGUUGGGAAGAAAAAAAUGACGGUACCAACAGAAGAAGUGACGGCUAAAUACGUG